AGCGAACGCUGGCGGCAGGCUUAACACAUGCAAGUCGAGCGGGCACUUCGGUGUCAGCGGCAGACGGGUGAGUAACACGUGGGAACGUACCCUUCGGUUCGGAAUAACGCUGGGAAACUAGCGCUAAUACCGGAUACGCCCUUUUGGGGAAAGGUUUACUGCCGAAGGAUCGGCCCGCGUCUGAUUAGCUAGUUGGUGGGGUAAUGGCCUACCAAGGCGACGAUCAGUAGCUGGUCUGAGAGGAUGCUCAGCCACACUGGGACUGAGACACGGCCCAGACUCCUACGGGAGGCAGCAGUGGGGAAUACUGGACAAUGGGCGCAAGCCUAAUCCAGCCACGCCGCGUGAGAGAUGAAGGCCUUAGGGUUGUAAAGCUCUUUUGUCCGGGACGAUAAUGACGGUACCGGAAAAAUAAGCCCCGGCUAACUUCGUG
This 433-nucleotide ribosomal RNA is filed under the name uncultured bacterium. RNAcentral describes it as "partial 16S ribosomal RNA". It matches the Rfam family "Bacterial small subunit ribosomal RNA", at positions 29 to 507 of the family's 1533-position model. The record is from RNAcentral.